UAGCUUAGUGGUUAAGGCUAUGGAUCGCCAAUCCGCGGACGGCGGGUUCGAUUCCCGU
This is a non-coding RNA of Aedes albopictus (Asian tiger mosquito), 58 nucleotides long. The record is from Rfam. NCBI's taxonomy places the organism in Eukaryota, Metazoa, Arthropoda, Insecta, Diptera, Culicidae.